RNAcentral lists this ribosomal RNA (406 nucleotides) under uncultured bacterium. RNAcentral's name for it is "partial 16S ribosomal RNA". It matches the Rfam family "Bacterial small subunit ribosomal RNA", at positions 30 to 526 of the family's 1533-position model. The record is from RNAcentral.
AUUGAACGCUGGCGGCAGGCUUAACACAUGCAAGUCGAGCGAGAGGCGGACGGGUGAGUAAUGUCUGGGAAACUGCCUGAUGGAGGGGGAUAAAUCCUGGAAACGGUAGCUACUACCGCAUACCAUCAGAUGUGCCCAGAUGGGAUUAGGUAGUAGGUGGGGUAAUGGCUCACUUAGGCGCAGAUCCCUAGCUGGUCUGAGAGGAUGACCAGCCACAUUGGAACUGAGACACGGUCCAGACGCCUACGUGAGGCAGCAGUGGGGAAGAUUGCACAAUGGGCGAAAGCCUGAUGCAGCCAUGCCGCGUGGUUGAAGAAGGCCUUCGGGUUGUAAAGAACGUUCAGCGAGGAGGCGUUACUCGCAGAAGAAGCACCGGCUAACUCCGUGCCAGCAGCCGCGGUAAUUC